Molecule: ribosomal RNA, 709 nt
Filed under: Salmonella enterica
Lineage: Bacteria; Pseudomonadati; Pseudomonadota; Gammaproteobacteria; Enterobacterales; Enterobacteriaceae
Description: partial 23S ribosomal RNA
Rfam family: Bacterial large subunit ribosomal RNA
Source: RNAcentral
AGACCCGAAACCCGGUGAUCUAGCCAUGGGCAGGUUGAAGGUUGGGUAACACUAACUGGAGGACCGAACCGACUAAUGUUGAAAAAUUAGCGGAUGACCUGUGGCUGGGGGUGAAAGGCCAAUCAAACCGGGAGAUAGCUGGUUCUCCCCGAAAGCUAUUUAGGUAGCGCCUCGUGAAUUCAUCUCCGGGGGUAGAGCACUGUUUCGGCCAGGGGGCCAUCCCGGCUUACCAAUCCGAUGCAAACUGCGAAUACCGGAGAAUGUUAUCACGGGAGACACACGGCGGGUGCUAACGUCCGUCGUGAAGAGGGAAACAACCCAGACCGCCAGCUAAGGUCCCAAAGUCAUGGUUAAGUGGGAAACGAUGUGGGAAGGCCCAGACAGCCAGGAUGUUGGCUUAGAAGCAGCCAUCAUUUAAAGAAAGCGUAAUAGCUCACUGGUCGAGUCGGCCUGCGCGGAAGAUGUAACGGGGCUAAACCAUGCACCGAAGCUGCGGCAGCGAACGUAUCACCCAAGACAACUUUGCACAGUUGACGAUUGACGGAGCGAAGCGACGUCAAAGCGUUUUACAACGUCGAGUUGGCUUAGGGAUACGUUCGUUGGGUAGGGGAGCGUUCUGUAAGCCGUUGAAGGUGGCCUGUGAGGGUUGCUGGAGGUAUCAGAAGUGCGAAUGCUGACAUAAGUAACGAUAAAGCGGGUGAAAAGCCCG